GGUUAAGCGACUAAGCGUACACGGUGGAUGCCCUGGCAGUCAGAGGCGAUGAAGGACGUGCUAAUCUGCGAAAAGCGUCGGUAAGGUGAUAUGAACCGUUAUAACCGGCGAUGUCCGAAUGGGGAAACCCAGUGCAAUUCGUUGCACUAUCGUUAACUGAAUACAUAGGUUAACGAGGCGAACCGGGGGAACUGAAACAUCUAAGUACCCCGAGGAAAAGAAAUCAACCGAGAUUCCCCCAGUAGCGGCGAGCGAACGGGGAGCAGCCCAGAGUCUGAAUCAGCUUGUGUGUUAGUGGAACGGUCUGGAAAGUCCGACGGUACAGGGUGAUAGUCCCGUACACCAAAAUGCACAGGUUGUGAACUCGAAGAGUAGGGCGGGACACGUGGUAUCCUGUCUGAAUAUGGGGGGACCAUCCUCCAAGGCUAAAUACUCCUGACUGACCGAUAGUGAACCAGUACCGUGAGGGAAAGGCGAAAAGAACCCCGGCGAGGGGAGUGAAAAAGAACCUGAAACCGUGUACGUACAAGCAGUGGGAGCACCUUCGGGUGUGACUGCGUACCUUUUGUAUAAUGGGUCAGCGACUUAUAUUCUGUAGCAAGGUUAACCGUAUAGGGGAGCCGCAGGGAAACCGAGUCUUAACUGGGCGUUAAGUUGCAGGGUAUAGACCCGAAACCCGGUGAUCUAGCCAUGGGCAGGUUGAAGGUUGGGUAACACUAACUGGAGGACCGAACCGACUAAUGUUGAAAAAUUAGCGGAUGACUUGUGGCUGGGGGUGAAAGGCCAAUCAAACCGGGAGAUAGCUGGUUCUCCCCGAAAGCUAUUUAGGUAGCGCCUCGUGAACUCAUCUUCGGGGGUAGAGCACUGUUUCGGCUAGGGGGUCAUCCCGACUUACCAACCCGAUGCAAACUACGAAUACCGAAGAAUGUUAUCACGGGAGACACACGGCGGGUGCUAACGUCCGUCGUGAAGAGGGAAACAACCCAGACCGCCAGCUAAGGUCCCAAAGUCAUGGUUAAGUGGGAAACGAUGUGGGAAGGCACAGACAGCCAGGAUGUUGGCUUAGAAGCAGCCAUCAUUUAAAGAAAGCGUAAUAGCUCACUGGUCGAGUCGGCCUGCGCGGAAGAUGUAACGGGGCUAAACCAUGCACCGAAGCUGCGGCAGCGACACUAUGUGUUGUUGGGUAGGGGAGCGUUCUGUAAGCCUGCGAAGGUGACCUGUGAGGGUUGCUGGAGGUAUCAGAAGUGCGAAUGCUGACAUAAGUAACGAUAAAGCGGGUGAAAAGCCCGCUCGCCGGAAGACCAAGGGUUCCUGUCCAACGUUAAUCGGGGCAGGGUGAGUCGACCCCUAAGG
Molecule: ribosomal RNA, 1353 nt
Filed under: Klebsiella pneumoniae
Lineage: Bacteria; Pseudomonadati; Pseudomonadota; Gammaproteobacteria; Enterobacterales; Enterobacteriaceae
Description: partial 23S ribosomal RNA
Rfam family: Bacterial large subunit ribosomal RNA
Source: RNAcentral